RNAcentral lists this ribosomal RNA (468 nucleotides) under uncultured bacterium. RNAcentral's name for it is "partial 16S ribosomal RNA". It matches the Rfam family "Bacterial small subunit ribosomal RNA", at positions 28 to 507 of the family's 1533-position model. The record is from RNAcentral.
GACGAACGCUGGCGGCGUGCUUAACACAUGCAAGUCGAACGGAAAGGCCCUGCUUUUGUGGGGUGCUCGAGUGGCGAACGGGUGAGUAACACGUGAGUAACCUGCCCUUGACUUUGGGAUAACUUCAGGAAACUGGGGCUAAUACCGGAUAGGAGCUCCUGCUGCAUGGUGGGGGUUGGAAAGUUUCGGCGGUUGGGGAUGGACUCGCGGCUUAUCAGCUUGUUGGUGGGGGAGUGGCUUACCAAGGCUUUGACGGGUAGCCGGCCUGAGAGGGUGACCGGCCACAUUGGGACUGAGAUACGGCCCAGACUCCUACGGGGGGCAGCAGUGGGGAAUAUUGCACAAUGGGCGGAAGCCUGAUGCAGCAACGCCGCGUGCGGGAUGACGGCCUUCGGGUUGUAAACCGCUUUCGCCUGUGACGAAGCGUGAGUGACGGUAAUGGGUAAAGAAGCACCGGCUAACUACGUG